RNAcentral lists this ribosomal RNA (893 nucleotides) under Triticum aestivum (bread wheat). RNAcentral's name for it is "partial small subunit ribosomal RNA". Lineage: Eukaryota; Viridiplantae; Streptophyta; Magnoliopsida; Poales; Poaceae. The record is from RNAcentral.
UUUUGGGAUGCUAGUUAGGGAGCACGGGUGACGUCUAGUAAGAGGCGGCGGUUGGUCGGAGAGGUCAUGCAUGCUUUAGGAAGCGGCGGCGGGGGUAGUGUCUAGAGGACGGCGGCUGAGAAGCAACGGCGGCGGGUGCCUGCUUCAGCAAGCAACGGCAGCGGCGGCAGGCUCCCCUCUGCGGCGGCGGCGCAGAGAUCCCGUUCCGCCAAACUUAGGGACGGCGGCUUGAGGCCCUCUGCAGCAGCGGGGCAGGCUGUCCUCUGCGGCGCGGCGGAGGGGAGCCACCAGCGCGAUAGGGGGGAGGGGGGUGAAACAGCACGAUGGGGUCGGGUGACGUCGUGGUACCACCCUAGCUCUAGCCCCUACUCUCUGCGGACCACUACAUAGUUUAAGACAGUACGUUUUAUUUCCUCGCGACUCCUACUACCAAAAGUACAACGGAACCUAGUACAACCAAGCCAUCACCGGAGAUUAUACAGUCUAUCAGGUACAGCAACCUGCAGCAGCCAGACCGCCUCUCGUACAGGCGCCAGCUAGACCUCCAGCACAAGCCGAGGUAGCCGGCGCAGUGGCCGAGGCUCAAGUACGCGUGAUCGCCGGCGUCGAAGCAGAUGUAACGGUGACGGGGAGGGUGUUCCAGUACUGCUUCAACAAGAGGUGGCAUUAGUAGUUGUUAGAGUAACAUUGAUACAAAGAUGUGGAGCCGUUAUUAAUUAUCAUCGUCUAACCCCAAAACAACUAAAAGGUGUAAUCGGUACACGUAAGACACCAAACUUACCUCUUCAAACACAAACUCCGCUCAUCUCGAAAUGGUCGAAUUAUUGUCUCCCACCACAAACGUCAACGACACCCACGACUAACAAGGGGUCAGAGUCAAAGAACCUUACCGC